UGUCUGAACGUUACACAAACUAGUUAGCCUCGGCGGGAUCUCUGCCCCGGGUGCGUCGCAGCCCCGGACCAAGGCGCCCGCCGGAGGACCAACCAAAACUCUUAUUGUAUACCCCCUCGCGGGUUUUUUUAUAAUCUGAGCCUUCUCGGCGCCUCUCGUAGGCGUUUCGAAAAUGAAUCAAAACUUUCAACAACGGAUCUCUUGGUUCUGGCAUCGAUGAAGAACGCAGCGAAAUGCGAUAAGUAAUGUGAAUUGCAGAAUUCAGUGAAUCAUCGAAUCUUUGAACGCACAUUGCGCCCGCCAGUAUUCUGGCGGGCAUGCCUGUCCGAGCGUCAUUUCAACCCUCGAACCCCUCCGGGGGGUCGGCGUUGGGGAUCGGCCCUGCCUUGGCGGUGGCCGUCUCCGAAAUACAGUGGCGGUCUCGCCGCAGCCUCUCCUGCGCAGUAGUUUGCACACUCGCAUCGGGAGCGCGGCGCGUCCACAGCCGUUAAACACCCAACUUCUGAAAUGUGACCUCGGAUCAGGUAGGAAACCCGCGAACUA
This 543-nucleotide ribosomal RNA is filed under the name Trichoderma harzianum. RNAcentral describes it as "eukaryotic LSU rRNA". The stretch from base 182 to 335 matches the Rfam family "5.8S ribosomal RNA". Lineage: Eukaryota; Fungi; Ascomycota; Sordariomycetes; Hypocreales; Hypocreaceae. The record is from RNAcentral.